This 647-nucleotide ribosomal RNA is filed under the name uncultured bacterium. RNAcentral describes it as "bacterial SSU rRNA". It matches the Rfam family "Bacterial small subunit ribosomal RNA", at positions 202 to 837 of the family's 1533-position model. The record is from RNAcentral.
AAAAGGUGGCUAUACUACCGCUUUUGGAUGGGCCCGCGGCGCAUUAGCUAGUUGGUAGGGUAAAGGCUUACCAAGGCAAUGAUGCGUAGCCGAAUUGAGAGGUUGAUCGGCCACAUUGGGACUGAGACACGGCCCAAACUCCUACGGGAGGCAGCAGUAGGGAAUCUUCCACAAUGGGCGAAAGCCUGAUGGAGCAACGCCGCGUGGGUGAAGAAGGUCUUCGGAUCGUAAAACCCUGUUGUUAGAGAAGAAAGUGCGUGAGAGUAACUGUUCACGUUUCGACGGUAUCUAACCAGAAAGCCACGGCUAACUACGUGCCAGCAGCCGCGGUAAUACGUAGGUGGCAAGCGUUAUCCGGAUUUAUUGGGCGUAAAGGGAACGCAGGCGGUCUUUUAAGUCUGAUGUGAAAGCCUUCGGCUUAACCGGAGUAGUGCAUUGGAAACUGGGAGACUUGAGUGCAGAAGAGGAGAGUGGAACUCCAUGUGUAGCGGUGAAAUGCGUAGAUAUAUGGAAGAACACCAGUGGCGAAAGCGGCUCUCUGGUCUGUAACUGACGCUGAGGUUCGAAAGCGUGGGUAGCAAACAGGAUUAGAUACCCUGGUAGUCCACGCCGUAAACGAUGAAUGCUAAGUGUUGGAGGGUUUCCGC